RNAcentral lists this long non-coding RNA (1770 nucleotides) under Brassica napus (rape). RNAcentral describes it as "long non-coding RNA (BNAP_LNC024608)". The record is from RNAcentral. Lineage: Eukaryota; Viridiplantae; Streptophyta; Magnoliopsida; Brassicales; Brassicaceae.
CAACCUGAUUUAAAUCUAACCUUGAGUUUUAAAAAACAACUCUCAAAACUGAAACUAUAAUGCAUCAAAUUGGUAUAGCAGAGACAUCAAAACACAGCAAACUUUGACACCAUUGCUUAUAAAACUCAACCCUGAACCCUGAAUCGGUUGAAGACCUAUCCAGCCGUGACCUAAGAGAACAUAAAAAUAGAAUACGAAACCUACAUGUAAAAUCUUACGCCAACAAUACUACAUCCAAAAACUACAUUAAUCCAAAAAAAAGAAAACCAAAACAUUACAAAGUACUGCACCGUUGCUUCCAAACUUAACCAUGAAGAAUAAGUCAAAAAGACCAAUCACAGCCGCGACCAAAGAGAACAUUAAGAUACAAAAAGCUGCGGAAGCAAUUAACAUUACGCUACACUACUACAACAACAACAUGGCCAGCGAGAGAGAGAGAGAGUGAGGAGCCUUACUUCUCCAUUCAGAAACCUUUCUGAUUCAAUCAACAACAAUUACUUUCCGAGGCUUUCCAAGUCUCGGUUUUGUUGAUGCCUUCUGCUUACUCUGCUUCACAUUCUUUCUUCUUUUGGUUCCAUUCAUAUGCCAGUCAUCGUCAUCAUCAUCAUCUUCUUCUUCCUCACUAGGAUCAGAAUCUAUGUAGUCAUCAUCAUCUUCGUCUUCAUUAUAAUAUACCUUCCGAGAGGCUUUUUUAGGUGCUGUUCUUGGUAUAUCGUAGACUGGGAAUCCUCUUGGUAAGUCGGGGAUCUUAACCGUCUCUGCGAAUCCUAUUGGAUAGAAACCCCAACAGCAAUAGUAAGUAUCUUCUUCAGUAACUGGUGGUGGAGAUGGAACUUUCACCGCCUGGAAAGCUCUCCUACAGCUCUUAGUUUGACAUUUAAGCACGCUUUCCUCGUACAUGUUGGGAUACUCGAAAAGCACGAAGCAGUAUGGACAAGUCGUCCAGAAACUUGGAACCUUCGGGAUAGAAUCUGAACUCGGAGUCUGUUCAGUAUGUUGGGAUUGGUUAGGGACCCCCGUUGGCUGAGGAGGAGAUGGAUUAGUAGAGGCCACUGGAACUGGAGAGGGAGUAGUGGAGACAGCUGGAACCGAAGGUGGAGUAGUAGAGACCGGAGGUUGCUGGAAUGAUUGAGUUGAAUUGAAGAUAGGAGGAUUAAAAAAAUAUAGAUUAGUUAUUUAGUUCCAUAAUUUUAGGUUAGUGUAUAUAUUUAAUAAUAAUUAAGUUAGACAUAAAUAUAAAUAAUUAAAAAGGUAGUUAAGUGUAAUAGUCCAACUUAGACUAUUUGUAAAUAGAUAACUUAGACUAUUUGUAAAUAGAUAGAACCUAAAUUAAUAUAUUAGAUUCUCAAAACUGAAACUAUAAUGCAUCAAAUUGGUAUAGCAGAGACAUCAAAACACAACAAACUUUGACACCAUUGCUUAUCGGUUGAAGACCUAUCCAGCCGUUACCUAAGAGAACAUAAAAAUAGAAUACGAAACCUACAUGGAAAAUCUUACGCCAACAAUACUACAUCCAAAAACUACAUUAAUCCAAAAAAAGAGAACCAAAACAUUACAAAUUACUGCACCGUUGCUUCCAAACUUAACCAUGAUGAAUAAGUCAAAAAGACCAAUCACAGCCGCGACCAAAGAGAACAUUAAGAUACAAAAAGCUGCGGAAGCAAUUAACAUUACGCUACACUACUACAACAACAACAUGGCCAGCGAGAGAGAGAGUGGGGAGCCUUACUUCUCCAUUCAGAAACCUUUCUGAUUCAAUCAACAACAAUU